Long non-coding RNA from Cercocebus atys (sooty mangabey), 1952 nucleotides. RefSeq lists it as uncharacterized. The transcript is spliced from 5 exons. The record is from RefSeq and is a predicted model, not a curated record. Lineage: Eukaryota; Metazoa; Chordata; Mammalia; Primates; Cercopithecidae.
AAGAGGAGACUUAGAAACAACUGUCUCAACAGGCUAAAGACGGACAGUUUUAGUAACAGCCACAGCCUCGUCUUCCUUCCUUAUCACUUGAAAUGGUCACUUACACUUCUGCCAGAUAACACCUGUGAAAGGCAGGGGUCUCCUUCCUCUGAAUGUGUUUACUGAUUUCCUGGAGGUCACCGGGUCGUUGUUCAGUAAGAACAAGAAAGAGCUUCUGCCAGUGUUUUCCACUCUCUUCGGAAGACAGAGGAUCUUUCUCCGGGGGCUACCAUGGACUCCCAGGGUUUAGAAUAUUCAGUUCCUCAGAUCCCUGUUUAUGGUAGAAUCAUAAGACCCUGCAGAAGAUUCGCAGACACAAGAAACAGUGGCACAGAGCAUGGCCCUUUUCCUUCGUGGAGAAGCGUGCACUACCCACUCUCAGAAACCUUAGAGAUUUCAGGGAAGUCUAGCUGAUGAGGCCUCAGGCCCUGGUUCCACAGGGACAUGAAUACCUCAAGCUUUGCAGAUUGUGGAGUGACCUAGCCUGUCUACUUAGUCUGCACCAUUGAAAUUCCAUCAAUGAAGACUGACCUCUGCCAUGAUUAAAAUAAGAAGUGCUUUAAAUCAAAGAGGCCCACCCUCUUCCCGGAUCAACAGGGUCCAAGAGCAGGAAAGUGGAACUGAAUACCUGGACUAAGACCAAAGAAUGCUGCAGUGUGGACUGGGGGGAUAAAUUCCAGGCAUUUCUUCUUGCUUCCAAAUGUAACUGAAUCUCUUUUAUCUGGAAAUAUGACUUGAGUUCAUAGGAAAGAGGAAUCAGGCCAAAGCCACUUUUUGAUAUUGGGGCAUCAGAAAUACCAUAGGCACAGGCUUUUUCACAGGAUGGUAUUUCUUGUUUGGACAUCUGGCUGAUCUGCUGAAAACAUGCAUCUGUGAGAAAUACAUGGGAACAAUUUCUUUUUGAUAAAUAAGGAAAUACUUUAGUAGAGGGCUUGGAGCUGUUGCUGUAGUCCAGUCUGUGCCUACAGGUGGCAGUGCUCCUUCAUGGUUGCAGCGAUGUGGAUUUCAAUGCAUUGGAUUGUCAAUGGAAGGUGAAUUUAGGAAGUGAAAUCAAACUUCAGAAAUCUAUUUUCAGGUUUGUCUGUAGAUUGCAUUAGGGCAAGACUGGGUAAGUCUGUCUUUAUAAAAUCCACACUCUUGUGAGUACCAUAAUAAUUCUAUGGGCACCUUCAGUGGGGCUUGUUAGAACACUGAUGCUGAUGCUCCCUAAACUUAUUUUUCAAAGAACUGCUGGUUUAAUCAACAAAAUAGAAAUCACUGGAGAGAUUUAUUAAGCAUUUAACUUUUUUUUUUUUUAAAGGCAUUUAACUUCAUGUUAAGGAGUCAAAAAUACAAAAGGGUUGUGGAGUAGAAUUUCUGUAAAUUAAAUAACCAACUGGAGCUCAUGAGCCUGUGCUAGACUAGCUGUAAGAGUAACUGAUCACAGUUGGUGUGUGAUGACACUGGGCCAGCCACUGUGCUGAGGUAUUUGGAUGGUUUAACUCACGUAAAUCUAUAUAGCAACCCUACCAUUUUCUUUCAGUUCUAUGAUGCUUAAUUUUUCAUAUUUCACAGUUCUAAAAUUAGAAUAUGUUCUAAAAUAGAUGACUUCUGACAAUCCCUAUCCAUAAGGCAGAAACUGAGAUAGUAUUUGUUUGUUUGCUUUUGUUUAUUAUUAUUAUUAUUAUGUUAUUUCAAUAGGUAUUGGGGGAACAGGUGCUAUUUGGUUACACGGAUAAGUUCUUUAGUGGUGAUUUCUGAGAUUUUGGUGCAUCCAUCACCCGAGCAGUGUACACUGCACCCAGUGUGUAGUUCUUUAUCCCUCACCACCCCUGACCAUUUCCCUCAAGUCCUCAAAGGCCAUUGUAUUAUUAUUAUGCCUUUGUGUCCUCAGAGCUUAGCUCCCACUUAUGAGUGAGAACAUUUGAUGUUUC